RNAcentral lists this long non-coding RNA (363 nucleotides) under Glycine max (soybean). RNAcentral describes it as "long non-coding RNA (GMAX_LNC004028)". The record is from RNAcentral. Lineage: Eukaryota; Viridiplantae; Streptophyta; Magnoliopsida; Fabales; Fabaceae.
ACAGAAGCCAGUGCAGAUGUUCCAAAAACAACAGACAAGAAAAUAGAGGUGGUGGUGGAAGCCACGGUCUACUGUCAGAGCUGUGACCACUUUGGAACGUGGUCUUUGAUUGGAGCCAAGCCCAUUCCUUCAGCCAAAGUGAGUGUUACCUGCAAAAGCCACAAUGGUCAUGUGAGCUACUAUAAGGUCUUUGAGACAGACAAGAAUGGUUACCUUUAUGCACCACUUGAAGGGUUCAAAAUGCAGCAUUAUAUACUUGACCACCCCCUCCACUCUUGCUACGUGAAGCCUGUUUGGUCUCCUCUUGAAAGUUGCAGCCUCCUCUCCAAUGUCAAUUAUGGUCUGAAUGGGGCUCCACUUCGU